Long non-coding RNA from Bos taurus (domestic cattle), 903 nucleotides. Lineage: Eukaryota; Metazoa; Chordata; Mammalia; Artiodactyla; Bovidae. The record is from Ensembl.
AGGCUUUUCCUCGUUGCCUGUGCGCCAUCUUUACUGGGGGCAGCUUCCGGCAUGAGGCAGUCCACAGGUUGAAGGCGUGGUGUCUCUGAAUUAGUUAACCCGCGGAAGGGAAGCUGAAAGAGACGCGGGUCCUCCGGUACACUGCUCUGGCUCCUCUGUCCCUGGGAUUCUCCAGGCGAGAAUACUGGAGUGGGUUGCCAUUUCCUUCUCCAAUGCAUGAAAGUGAAAAGUGAAAGUGAAGUCGCUCAGUCGUCCUCGACUCUUAGCGACCCCAUGGACUGCAGCCUACCAGGCUCCUCCAUCCAUGGGAUUUUCCAGGUUGAAUUGUCACCCUUAAAUUCAUAUGUUGAAGUUCCAACCCCAGUAUCUCAGAAUGUGACAGUGUUUGGAGAUAGGACCUUUAAAGAGUGUUGCUGUUGCUGCUGCUAAGUUGCUUCAGUCAUGUCCGACUCUGUUCGACCCCAGAGACGGCAGCCCACCAGGAUCCCCCGUCCCUGGGAUUCUCCAGGCAAGAACACUGGAGCGGGUUGCCAUUUCCUUCUCCAGUGCAUGAAAGUGAAAGUGAAGUUGCUCAGUCAUGUCUGACUCCUAGCAACCCCAUGGACUACGGCCUACCAGGCUCCUCUAUCCAUGGGAUUUGCCAGGCAAGAGUACUGGAGUGGGGUGCCAUUGCCUUCUCCUUUUACUGAGAUAUAAUUGACUUAUAGCACUGAAUAAAUUUAAGGUGUAUAGCAUAAUAAUUUGAGUUACAUACAUCAUGAAAUUAUUAUUAUAAUAAGUUUAGGAACAUCCAUUAUCUCAUGUAGUUACAGAAUUAAAUAGAAAAUUUAAUGGAAAAAUAUUUUUUCCUUGUAAAGAGAAUUCAGGAUUUACUCUCUUAACUUUCAUAUAUAACAUACAUAC